UCUGUAAUAGGGCCCGUAAGUCUCGUUUACUUUCACUUUCGAUUUACCACUUCCGGGUACAUCGGCAGACUUAUUUACCGUUACGCAUAUAGGUAACCCGAAGAACUCGAGGGAUAUAGAAGUUAAAUUUGUUUCGGUCCUCUUCAGAUUUGAAGGAAUGGAUAGCACGGGUCAAAAAAUGCAGAUGUAUAGACAAGGAGGUAUAUGACAAGUAUAGAAUAUACAGUUGUUCAAUAUGGACCAUUAAUCAACUGUUUGUACUGCCUAUGAUCCUGAAAUAUCUGUACAUCAAAGAUAAAAAGGGAAAAGAUGAAGGAGGAUUUGCCCAUGAAGACCUUUAUUGCAACUACCAUCUUCCAGUUCCUUAAUUUGAGAAUGAUAUCAGAGAACACACAGUUACAGUGAAAUAUUAGUUUAAUAUAAUUAAGCCACUGAAAAUAGUCAAAUAUACUUUCCUGAAGAAGAUGAAUGACAUCCAGCACAGAAAUCUUAAUGUAUAAAGAGUAUGAUUUUAUGGUGUUUGACACUAUGAUCUUGUUAACAUGUUAAUGUCACAAUGAUAGAAACAGAGUAAAAUAUCCACAUUUCAUUGCAGUUUUAAGUAUUAAAACUAGAUACUCUAUAUAUACUAAAGCUGAUAACACACCAGAGAUAAGGUUUUUUCAUGGAAUCACAGUAGAGUCAUAUGACAUUAUGGACAUUAAAUGACAAUGAAGUAAAGAUUAGCAAAAAUAUUAUAUAUCAUCUACUACUAAUAUUGUGAGGCAAUCAUUGAUAAGAUCACAAAUUUGCAAUCAAAGCUUUGAUAUCAAGUUGAACAUUUUUCAAUUAGAAUAUGAUUUAUAACUGUAUGAUAAUUUGUUCAUGUUAAUUUUCAAAGUCUUUACAUUUGUAAAAGGAAAUAUUCUUAUUCUUGUAUCAGUAGACAUUCACAGUGUAAAGUUACAUUGUCCAAAUAACUAAUAAUAAUUCCAAGUGCUUUCCUGAAGUUUUUCUUCCACUGGAAAAUCAGUGUGAUAUAUAUGCUAAGCAGUGCACUAUAAAUUAUGUAAAAAUAAAAGUUUAUUAAACUUA
Ruditapes philippinarum (Manila clam) is the source of this 1074-nucleotide long non-coding RNA. RefSeq lists it as uncharacterized. The transcript has 3 exons. The record is from RefSeq and is a predicted model, not a curated record. Lineage: Eukaryota; Metazoa; Mollusca; Bivalvia; Venerida; Veneridae.